This is a non-coding RNA of Leptonychotes weddellii (Weddell seal), 736 nucleotides long. Lineage: Eukaryota; Metazoa; Chordata; Mammalia; Carnivora; Phocidae. The record is from RefSeq and is a predicted model, not a curated record.
CCACAGGAGGGUCUUGAUUCUGACCCCGGCUGCUUUGGGUAGCCACUACAGCCAGUGAGAGGCUCCCUCAUUUACUGAAAGAGCAAAGACCCCAAACCACCCAUAGGUGGUGACUGACUCCUCUGAAAUCCUUUCUGCAGUGUACCUGGUUCUAAGAAAGUAUCACUUAGGAAAUGCUUCUGGAGAAACCUCGUGAAGACCCUUUGUUCCAAAGGAAGGACCAGUCACGCUGUGGCCCCGGGUUAUGGCAGCAGCAUCCACCUGGGACGGCGGGAACCACUAGCAGAAACAGUGUCCACAUCGGCCAAAUGUAUUUGACUGACAAGAUUAUCAUUGAGAAUCAAGAGAAGCCUAGGACCUAGGGGGCCGGGACCAGCCACCACCAACAGCCGUGGACCAGCUUCAGCAUCCAUUCUGCGCUUGGGGUGGGGGCUCCCCCCAGACCACAAGUGGCCUCUUCCAUCAGCUUAGCAUAGCCUCUUGCUUGGCCUGCCCUGUAGGAGCUGAUAAACUGAGUCUGGUUUCCAUUCUUCUGCAGCCUUAGUGGAAAAGGGUGGCUGGCUCUCCUUGAUUCAAGUGUCCGAGUGAAGAGCUGGAGCUGGCUCAGAAUAAUGCUGUGUAUUAUUGCGUCUCCUCUCGACCCCACUCCUCUUUUGUAUCUCACCACCACUUGUAUAGAGCUCCUCCACCCUCUGUCUCUUCGUUGACAAUAAACAGAAUUGUCUCCCGAAGCCUU